UUUUCAUGGGGCUCUGGUAUUCUCUCAACAGAGAGCUGAGAUUCCUGGAUUUAGGACUUUUUUCAGAAGAGUUAACCCUUCUAAUUACCCAGAAGAAAUGUUUCUUAGAAGUUUCUGGAAUUGGGCUUUUGAGUGCCCAGAUUUUUCUGAAAUAUUCGGGCAAGAGGAAUUGUCACUGAGUGCUUCCCUGGACAUGCUUCCCUGUCAUUAUUUUGAUAUUUCCAUGUCUGUGCUGAGUUACAGAGUUUACACUGCAGUGUAUGCUGUAGCUUGGGCACUGCAAAACAUGUUUCUAACCAGAUCUGAAAGGAGUUCAUGUGGCGUUAAAGGCAGCCCAGUGCCUACAUCUCAGAAGAAAUCUGAACUUUUGACCUCCAAUACAAUAGAACCAGACUGGGCAAAGAGACAUCCUCAGCUUGUGGAUCCAGCUCUCCCUGGAGACAACCUGGUAUGCAGAACACAGAGGGAGAGGCAGUAACAACCCAGGAUAUUGAACUUGAGAAAUGUGUGCAGCGACAGCUAAAAGAUGAAAUUGGGACACAAACACAGAAAAAUCCUCUAAUUCUCCAGCCUCCACCAUCAACACAAGACCACAGCAUCCCACUGACAGAGGAAUUUGAGCCUGUGGCGCAUUGAAGGUGAUGAUAACAACAACAAAAUCCAAUUGCAGAUCAACUCCUGGCCAGAUUGACUCAAC
Molecule: long non-coding RNA, 697 nt
Filed under: Equus asinus (donkey)
Lineage: Eukaryota; Metazoa; Chordata; Mammalia; Perissodactyla; Equidae
Description: lncRNA (ENSEASG00005038375.1)
Source: RNAcentral